Molecule: long non-coding RNA, 1956 nt
Organism: Oryza sativa Japonica Group (Japanese rice)
Lineage: Eukaryota; Viridiplantae; Streptophyta; Magnoliopsida; Poales; Poaceae
Source: RefSeq, a predicted model, not a curated record
CACCAUGACACUAGAUUACCAACAGACAUCUGUCGGUAAAAAUAAACAAUUAUUGAUAGACUAUUUAUUGGUAAAGGCUUUUGGCAAAUUAUAUGUCGGCAAUACUAUGUAAUAAGACAUGUUAUAUGUCAGCAAUUCCAAAUAUUUAUUGGGUCAAAAUAACUGUCAGCAAUAUUUAGAGUGGAAACCAAUUAUAUGUCAGGAAAACUUAACGAUAUUCCAUCUGUCAGCAAUGUUUCUUCCGUCUGAUCUUGAUCCCACGGUUCGGAUAGAGCGAGUCAGCGAGGUGAUUGCUCGGCUGAAAAAAAGAAAUCCACGCCAAAAAAUAUCACGCCGAAAAGAAAAUCCACGCAAAAAAAAAACCCUAGGCGCUGUGCCACUUCGUCCGCUUUCCACCGCGCGUCGCCACUUCUCCGCCAAAUCCAUCGCCGCGGCGCGCGGCCUCCUUCUCCUCCUUCUCCGCCGCGGCGCACCGCCACUUCUCCGCCAAAUCCACCACCGUGCGCCGCCACUUCUCCGCCAAAUCCACCACCGCAUGCCGCCUCCACUACCGCUUCCACCAGAUGGGCCGCAAGAGGAAGGCUAGGGUUUCCCGCGACGGCGACGGCAGUGGUGAGGAGGAGCAGGAGCCCGCGCCGGCCGCCGUAGAGAGCAAGAGCCUCUAUGAGGUUCCGCCCGCUGGGGAAUUUGGUGGUUCGCUGCGCGAUCAGCGUGUUUGUGUAUGAGUAAAAUCCACAUUUGCCUCUCGGAUUACCUCUAAUUGAGCAACUACGUGUACCAUUUCAAUGUGCAAAACAAUUGGGGCAAGAUUAUGCCACUGAUUAAUCCAAGUACGAAGUGAGUACUUAUGCAACAGGGGAUAAAUGCUUCUGCAUUUUGGAUACGAAGCAUGCAGGCAGUUGCUUGAAGGCUCAUAUUUCACUUGUGAAGCCUUAUGACUGACAUGGGAGAGUGCUUAUUGGUUUGAUCUUAAUUUUCAGCUCCGAUUUUUGGUUUCGCAGUAGUAGUACAUCUCAAAGGAUUUUCUAGUGACUUAAUCUUAUUUUAAUCUUGCUGGCCUUCCUUCCACGCCGCCGGCAAGCCCCCGGUGGUGCCGCUGACGCCGGAGGAGGUGGAGACGGCGGGGACCGGGGAUGAUGACAAGGAGGAGGAGGAGUAUGUAAGCGACCCCGACGACGUGCCGCUCCCGGAGAUGUGGCACCGGGAGGCCAGCGGUGACCGCUUUCAAGAGGAGAGUCGUGGCCGGCGCAGGUGAGUUCUUGAAAACUUAUACCUUAUCUGCUGUACCCAUAGUUUUGGUAGAAUUGCUAUUGCUCAACAGUAGGCUGUUGUUGUGGCCUCGAGGAAGCCAGAGCUGCAUUAUACUGCAGCAAAGUAAGACGGGCAUAAUCAAAACGUAGUGAAUCUGUGAAUUGAGUCAUCGAUGCCAAAGGUAGGCGAUGAAGCGCGGGGGAUUUAUCACAUGCAAUUCAGGCACUUACCAGAGCAUCUGAAAUCACUUAUUUUGAAUAUGUUGGGUCGUCGUGCUCGAAACUAAAAUCCACAUAGUGAUCAAGCUGUUAGCUGAUAAAAUAUCAGGAAACAUGAACAAUUUUGAAUGAGGUAAUGCCGAAUGUUAAUCCACAGUAAGGGGCCAGUGAAACUACUUUAUCAGGGAGUCCUAGAUGAUAUAUUUUCCUACAAUGAAAUCCAGGGACUUGUGCUAGAUACUUGUUUGUUGGGAGCUAAUGCAGACACACAUUUUCCCAACCUUGGUUCUUGCUGUUAAACAAUAGCACUGUUUCUUGUUGACAGUAAUUCGGAUUUGUGUGUGCUUAAAUUUUGAUGCUUAAGAUGCUAUUCUAGAUUUGUUGUCUCUUUGUGACAGUAGGUAGAUUGUAUAGUUAGAUUUGGAGAUGGAUUGUAUAAUUAUUCUGUGUACAUGGUGUUUUCAAUUAAAUGUAAAUAGUGCAUCCA